RNAcentral lists this ribosomal RNA (490 nucleotides) under uncultured bacterium. RNAcentral describes it as "partial 16S ribosomal RNA". It matches the Rfam family "Bacterial small subunit ribosomal RNA", at positions 30 to 507 of the family's 1533-position model. The record is from RNAcentral.
AUUGAACGCUGGCGGCAGGCCUAACACAUGCAAGUCGAACGGUAACAGGGAUCAGCUUGCUGAUUCGCUGACGAGUGGCGGACGGGUGAGUAAUGUCUGGGAAACUGCCUGAUGGAGGGGGAUAACUACUGGAAACGGUAGCUAAUACCGCAUAACGUCGCAAGACCAAAGAGGGGGACCUUCGGGCCUCUUGCCAUCGGAUGUGCCCAGAUGGGAUUAGCUAGUAGGUGGGGUAACGGCUCACCUAGGCGACGAUCCCUAGCUGGUCUGAGAGGAUGACCAGCCACACUGGAACUGAGACACGGUCCAGCCUCCUACGGGAGGCAGCAGUGGGGAAUAUUGCACAAUGGGCGCAAGCCUGAUGCAGCCAUGCCGCGUGUAUGAAGAAGGCCUUCGGGUUGUAAAGUACUUUCAGCGGGGAGGAAGGGAGUAAAGUUAAUACCUUUGCUCAUUGACGUUACCCGCAGAAGAAGCACCGGCUAACUCCGUG